Monomorium pharaonis (pharaoh ant) is the source of this 1494-nucleotide long non-coding RNA. RefSeq lists it as uncharacterized. The transcript is spliced from 2 exons. The record is from RefSeq and is a predicted model, not a curated record. NCBI's taxonomy places the organism in Eukaryota, Metazoa, Arthropoda, Insecta, Hymenoptera, Formicidae.
AAAUAAAUUUUAUGACAAAAUUAUUUUCAUAAUUUGUUAUUAAUUUUUUAUUAAUAUUAAUUUUAAUCUUGUAAAAUGCUUUCCUUGUAUAAACUAUCUCUUUGUAUAAAACGGAAAUACUAUUUGACGCCGCGUUGGAGUUCAUGUAUUUUUCCUGACUCUUCUUUCUUUGUUUUAUCCUUAGGCCUCCCUCUCCCAUCGCAACAUAGUUAUUUCUAAGGCUAAUAUUUCAUGUGUCGUAGUUAAUUACGACAAGUUAAUUAGACUUUUUGAUUGGCAAUAAGAUAGAGCAUUUCUAGAGACUCGAAAAUCUCUCUAGUCUAUGACCAAUCGAGAACGUUCAAACAGCUUAUCGUACGACACAUGAAAUAUUAGCCUAAAACAAUUUUUCCGAUUUGAUGCCUAAACGGCUGUUAUUUCGUUUAGUUGUUAGGGUUUCGAACGGUAAAUCAAGCCAGUCAAGCGUUAAUCGAAUUUUAUAGUCGUAUCGUCGCGAGAAAAGUAUGAAAAAAGAUAAUGUCAUCUGAACGUACUUUGCGAAAAGAUACAUUUAUCUUUCUAAUUGGAAAUUAUGCGUCGUAAAUUGUUGGGACUAAAUUGCCAUCAGUUCAUCAAGUGCUGGAAGUGCUAUUUUUUAAUAUGCGACAAGUAAACUUGAAUUUACGAGACAGUGCAGUGUUAACUAUCAAAGAAAUUAUAAUUUUCUGGAAUAAAGCGCGAAUCCCAAUUCGAGAUCCAGCGCGUUGUAUUAACAAGUUGGAAACUUUAUAUAAAAAAUGGAGAGAUUUGCAGAAAAAUGCCCAACUAUCGUCCGAAAGUUUAAAACAAAAUGUAUUUGUUUCGACAUUCGACGAUUUAUUAUUUUAAUCGAUAUGCACGCUAAUGCUCUUGAAUUAUUAACUAUCGAAGAAGAUAAACAAUUUCUUAUCAGCCAAAGGAAAAAAGGAUGACUGGGAAUAAUGCAGUAUUGAUUUAAAAAUGCAACAACAAAAUUAUCUUUUAAAAAGAAAUUAGAAGAAAUUUUUCAACCGCAAGUUGCUUUUUGACAUUAAUAGAGAAAUGUCCUUUAAUGAUGUUUUAUUUAUCGCAAAAACUUUAAGUAAGUUUGAUGAAAAUGAUUUAAAGGAAGAAUGGUUCACAUUGCAUGCUGAUUAUACAAAUGAUGAAAAGCAAACUCUUGCAACAAUGAAUUUUGAUGAUAUGUGGAAAGAAAUUUUAACACGUAAAUGUGAUAAUAUAGAUAAAUAUCCUAAUUUAAGAUUAAUUGUAAGUGCAAUUAGAUCACUUUCGCAUUUAAAUGCAGACUCAGAGAGAUCAUUUUCUAUUUUAUCCAACUUAAAAUGUAAAGAAAAGAGCAGACUUUCAUCGACCUCAGUUAACGCUAUAUGUGUUUUCAAAUCAGCGUUGAAAGCGAGGAAGGAAACAGCAUUAAAUAUGUCUAUUACCGAUAGACAUUUAAAAUUAAUGAAUUCAAAAAUGUUGUAUGCAACUCCA